UACGAGGGGUGCAAGCGUUGCUCGGAAUUAUUGGGCGUAAAGGGUAGGUAGGUGGUCUCAUUUGUCUGGGGUGAAAGCCUUGAGCUUAACUCAAGAAGUGCCCCAGAAACGGUGAGACUCGAGUACUGGAGAGGGUCGUGGAAUUCCCGGUGUAGCGGUGAAAUGCAUAGAGAUCGGGAGGAACACCAGAGGCGAAGGCGGCGACCUGGACAGUUACUGACACUCAACUACGAAAGCGUGGGGAGCAAACAGG
Molecule: ribosomal RNA, 253 nt
Filed under: uncultured bacterium
Lineage: Bacteria
Description: partial 16S ribosomal RNA
Rfam family: Bacterial small subunit ribosomal RNA
Source: RNAcentral